This is a small nuclear RNA of Cricetulus griseus (Chinese hamster), 107 nucleotides long. The record is from Ensembl. Lineage: Eukaryota; Metazoa; Chordata; Mammalia; Rodentia; Cricetidae.
GUGCUCGCUUUUGGCAGCACAUAUACUAAAAUUGGAAUGACAGAGAGAAGAUUAGCAUGGCCCUGUGCAAGGAUGACACGCAAAUUAGUGAAGUGUUUCAUGCUUUU